RNAcentral lists this ribosomal RNA (490 nucleotides) under uncultured bacterium. RNAcentral describes it as "partial 16S ribosomal RNA". It matches the Rfam family "Bacterial small subunit ribosomal RNA", at positions 28 to 507 of the family's 1533-position model. The record is from RNAcentral.
GAUGAACGCUAGCUACAGGCUUAACACAUGCAAGUCGAGGGGCAGCAUGGUCUUAGCUUGCUAAGGCCGAUGGCGACCGGCGCACGGGUGAGUAACACGUAUCCAACCUGCCGUCUACUCUUGGACAGCCUUCUGAAAGGAAGAUUAAUACAAGAUGGCAUCAUGGGUCCGCAUGUUCACAUGAUUAAAGGUAUUCCGGUAGACGAUGGGGAUGCGUUCCAUUAGAUAGUAGGCGGGGUAACGGCCCACCUAGUCUUCGAUGGAUAGGGGUUCUGAGAGGAAGGUCCCCCACAUGGGAACUGAGACACGGUCCAAACUCCUACGGGAGGCAGCAGUGAGGAAUAUUGGUCAAUGGGCGAGAGCCUGAACCAGCCAAGUAGCGUGAAGGAUGACUGCCCUAUGGGUUGUAAACUUCUUUUAUAAAGGAAUAAAGUCGGGUAUGGAUACCCGUUUGCAUGUACUUUAUGAAUAAGGAUCGGCUAACUCCGUG